Molecule: long non-coding RNA, 650 nt
Organism: Carya illinoinensis
Lineage: Eukaryota; Viridiplantae; Streptophyta; Magnoliopsida; Fagales; Juglandaceae
Exons: 2
Source: RefSeq, a predicted model, not a curated record
CUGGAUUCUCUAGAAAUGCCAUGUAUGUUGUACUUUUUGGGGAGUAUUGCAACUAUCAGCUUUCGCGUGUGCAUACAUACGUUGAAUUUGCACGUGUAUAAAUUUUCUUUGUUGCUGUGUUUACCUGUUAAAUGUUUAGAGUUAUUGGGUUUAUACCUUAUCGGUAUGAGUGUUACUGCUCAAGUUUAUGUUUCAGCCUGCUGGGAUUAGGUCAGGUUUAUGUUAGCUAUCACAUGUCAAAUUGAAGCUGACUUGAUAAUUGGAAUAUGUCGGGUGUAGGAGUUUAUUUAUCUAGUUACAUUGAACAAUCUAGUCCAUUUCAACAGAUAUUUCCUGGACCCUUCCAGAUAUGCAUCUCUGUGCUGUAGCACAAACAUAAAAGGAGGGAUUUUAACAUAAGAGACGAAGCUGAACAAUGUUGGUACAAAGUCAUAAUGUAGGGCCAUCAGGAUUUUUUUUUUUAUUGUUAAUAGUUGGGUUGAAUUGUGAGAUUAUUGUGUUAAAACAGUUCAUAGUUGCCUAAGCAAAGUAUUAUCUCAACAUUUUGGGAAGCAACAAUAUGGGCAGGAAUGGAGUUUAAUGUCUGUAUGCAAGUCAUCGUACACUGAUGGGCUGAACUACCUUUGGUUGGAUAAUUUUUUGCUCAUUUA